This is a long non-coding RNA of Selaginella moellendorffii, 1028 nucleotides long. RefSeq lists it as uncharacterized. The record is from RefSeq and is a predicted model, not a curated record. The transcript is spliced from 4 exons. NCBI's taxonomy places the organism in Eukaryota, Viridiplantae, Streptophyta, Lycopodiopsida, Selaginellales, Selaginellaceae.
CGGGGAUGAAGCCCAGCACGUUGACAUAGAAAUCCAUCGCCUCCUGGACAUUGCUGCAGUUUCGAGAUAUGUGAUUAAGCGACGCGAGCGGCAGCGGAGUCGACUGCCACUUUUUAAGCGACACGAACGAACGCAAAACCAACAAAGAAGGCAGAAACGUAGCGUAACGAACGGGAAGAGCGUGAGAACGAGAACUAGAGCUUCGUGCUAUGUGUGGGAUAAGGAGUGGGGGACUCUGCCGCUUAAGAAGGCUGCUGCCACGCAGCAGUGACGCGUCGCCAGGUCACUGGGCACAUGGUCUGACAUGGCAAUGCCCGACGCGCCACGUACCGACGGAUGGCAUCUCCUAAAGUGACGAGGCGUGUGCUCAGCUGGUGGUGGAUGGAGAAGCCACUGAAAAAAAAAACUAUCCACUCUCGAAACUACAGAUUUUUGCUUCAUGUCAUUCAGUGUAUGAUCAAUAAGAGAAAACUAGGCCAGUGCAUCGAAGUCGAGCUACAAGCAACUUGCCUGUGAAAUCAUUUUCCUUGACUGAAGAUACAAACAACGAAUCGGGGAUGGAUUAUAAUAAUUUACGAGGUUCAUGCAUCUAAGGCCACUGCUCACAUUGCGUUGGAGCUUAUACCAAAGACAGGAGUCUUUGGAUCAAACAGCGUGGCAGCUUUUGGUCUUGGCUCGGUCCGGGACUACAACAAGACAAAAGGCCACGAGUUUCACGGGCUAAGGAGAACAAUGCCACUGGCUUGGUUUUGAGGAUUUCUCCUGCCACGGCAGAUAGGAGAAUGAAAAGCUGUGCCAACACUAAAUACGAGGGUAAAGGGAAUUUCACUACGCUACGCUACUCAAAUUCCGCGUGCUUGGAGUGAUGACUCUGGUGAUUGUAACGUUUGAAGAAAACUUUGGCAAUACCGGCGAGAUAGCUUAGAAUUGUAUUGCUUGUGUCAUUAUGGAUGUCCUAAAGCUUGAUUUUAAGUGUUUUGCAAAUCUGAGCUCAGUCAUUUAUUUUUAAAUUAAAACUAUUCACUCAA